GAUGAACGCUGGCGGCGUGCCUAAUACAUGCAAGUCGAGCGAACAGACGAGGAGCUUGCUCCUCUGACGUUAGCGGCGGACGGGUGAGUAACACGUGGAUAACCUACCUAUAAGACUGGGAUAACUUCGGGAAACCGGAGCUAAUACCGGAUAAUAUAUUGAACCGCAUGGUUCAAUAGUGAAAGACGGUUUUGCUGUCACUUAUAGAUGGAUCCGCGCCGCAUUAGCUAGUUGGUAAGGUAACGGCUUACCAAGGCAACGAUGCGUAGCCGACCUGAGAGGGUGAUCGGCCACACUGGAACUGAGACACGGUCCAGACUCCUACGGGAGGCAGCAGUAGGGAAUCUUCCGCAAUGGGCGAAAGCCUGACGGAGCAACGCCGCGUGAGUGAUGAAGGUCUUCGGAUCGUAAAACUCUGUUAUUAGAGAAGAACAAAUGUGUAAGUAACUAUGCACGUCUUGACGGUACCUAAUCAGAAAGCCACGGCUAACUACGU
Molecule: ribosomal RNA, 496 nt
Filed under: uncultured bacterium
Lineage: Bacteria
Description: partial 16S ribosomal RNA
Rfam family: Bacterial small subunit ribosomal RNA
Source: RNAcentral